GGUGUUCGAGGUGCUGAAACGGGCGGACGCGAGGACGCUGGGACGGGCGGCGUGCGUGAGCCGCCGGUGGCGGGAGAUGGCGGAGGACGAGCGGCUGUGGGAGGCGGUGUGCACGCCGCACUGGGCGAGCAUGGGCUGCGGCAAGCUGCAGCUCCGAUCUGUGGUGCUUGCGCUCGGCGGCUUCCGCCGCCUCCACUCGCUGUACAUGGUGCCGCUCCGGCC
Molecule: unclassified non-coding RNA, 222 nt
Filed under: Hevea brasiliensis (rubber tree)
Lineage: Eukaryota; Viridiplantae; Streptophyta; Magnoliopsida; Malpighiales; Euphorbiaceae
Source: RNAcentral